This 253-nucleotide ribosomal RNA is filed under the name uncultured bacterium. RNAcentral describes it as "partial 16S ribosomal RNA". It matches the Rfam family "Bacterial small subunit ribosomal RNA", at positions 524 to 776 of the family's 1533-position model. The record is from RNAcentral.
UACGUAGGGGGCAAGCGUUGUCCGGAAUCAUUGGGCGUAAAGAGCGUGUAGGCGGCCCGAUAAGUCCGCUGUGAAAGUCCAGGGCUCAACCCUGGAAUGCCGGUGGAUACUGUCGGGCUCGAGUCCGGAAGAGGUGAGUGGAAUUCCUGGUGUAGCGGUGAAAUGCGCAGAUAUCAGGAGGAACACCGGUGGCGAAGGCGGGUCUCUGGGCCGUAACUGACGCUGAGGAGCGAAAGCGUGGGGAGCGAACAGG